This 22157-nucleotide long non-coding RNA is filed under the name Oryza sativa (Asian cultivated rice). Its description in RNAcentral is "long non-coding RNA (OSAT_LNC001110)". The record is from RNAcentral. Lineage: Eukaryota; Viridiplantae; Streptophyta; Magnoliopsida; Poales; Poaceae.
AAGAUUAUUCACUGCUGUUAGUACUUCCACAAGCAAAACAUUGCAAAAUUUGAUAAAUGUUUGCUAUUUAUUGGACAUCUGAGAUUUGCAUUUUUAUUCUGUUGUUCCAAUUAAUAUGCAGUUGUGUGGAUGCAUUGAGGCACCCCUUCCUUUGUGGACCUAAAUGGCGCAUAAAUCCAUCAGUUGAUGUCAUACGGUGGGGCUUGGGUUCUACUGCUGUCCGCAUGGCUGAAGAUUAUAUUUAUGGACAGCAUCAGGUAUUAACUCUAUGCACAUGUAUUAAUCAAGCUGCAUACCAUGUUCUCAUCUAUAAAUCUUGUUUAAAGGCUUGAGCUUCCACCCACUUAGAAACUGGCAUAUUUUUAAUGAAGCUUACAUUUUAACAAUCAAACUUCUACUUUGUAUCAUCUGAUAGCUCCUAAUUUUCAUGAGGACUUGUGGUGGCACCCCAAGGUACUCAUAAAGUUCGUUUUUCCAUGUUUACAGCGUAGACGAUUAGCAUAUUUUGUUGAAUUGAUGGAGGUGCUAAACCCUAAUCCAAGAACAGAGGUAACUUCGUCCUGUUCCAAGUCCUGAUAAAAAGAAUCCAGUGUGAUUGAACUUUGUUUUGAGAUGAUUGUGUAGCUGAGUUUCUUUUUCUUUUGCUAUGACAGCUGAAAUUAAUUGUUUCCAUAUCUUGAAUUCAAUUAUUGUUAGCGUUGAUGCUAUGAAUUCACUUGAUCUUUCUGUCUAUGGUGUCAUCAAUAUUAGGUGGAAAGAUAUAAUAUCUUUUGUAUUUCCUAUUUUGUUUGUUGCAGGAUAGAUAUGGUUCUUAUUGUCAGUCCAUUUUCAGAACAUAUAUUUUCUUAUUCUUUUCAAGUUCAUGUUCUUCUCUUCCAAAACAUAAUAUAUUUUAAUUUCCUUUUGCUUUUAUUCACUCAGAACUGGCUUAACAUCCUACCUGGUCACUGGCGUCUCUUAUACUGUACUGGAAGGCACAUCGGUCUAACACUUCGUCAGCCUUCUCCGAGAAUCCUCAUCACUGAUGUGUUUCUCACAUUUGCACAAACUUCAGACUCCAUUGAUCCUGUGUUCUCUCUGACCUCAGACAUUGGUUUCAAAAUUAUGGCAGAAUCUGAUUGGCCUCAUGACAAAUCUGGUAGCGAAGGAACAUUAUCUGUUACCUCAUCUGCGAGGAUAGCAACUGGAAGAAUUUAUAUUCACGAACAGGAUGGUGAUGAUAGUAGGGUUGCAUCUUCAAGAUCUUCUAGGAGAUACCUUCGUGGUAAGUGGAGAAAAGUUUCAAAAAUGAAAGAGCUGCCUGCUAGCCUCCCCACAGUAAACAUUACCAUGGAUGAACUCGACGUAUCAAUGAGCUGCAGCUCGACUUUAAAUGUCAGUUCUGCGCAGAAGGUGCUGCAAGAGAUCCGCACUCAGACCCCGCCAGAAAUGUUUGAUUUAUCAAAAAUUGUUUGUGGGACAUACGUUGAUGCAAGGUUGAUGAUUCUUCGUGGUGUUAACGGGUCCGCGUUAUUUUUCACCAGAUCAAAUUCUAGAGCUGAUUCCUGACGAUAAUCAGUGAAGCUUGUAACCAAUAUUCUUUGGGUGUACAUUCUUUGUAUUUCUAGCUGUACAUUAUUCAUAACUAGCAAAUGUAAAUAAUAGAGUGUAAGCUAAAUCUGUCAGUCAUCCUUCCGAAUCAGGAGAGAAAUAUGUUGCCGCUUUAUUAUUUGAUCUUGGAAAAUGAGUAAAUGACGAAUUGACGAUGUCUACAGCAGAGUCCAGGGUGGAAGCAUAAAGAGGGUUCCAAGUUCCAACUCUCAAUCAGAACUCGAGCAUGCAGACGAAGGAGAUGGCCAAGCGAAGGCGCAGUCCACUGCUGUCAACCUGUGAUGCGUGCCUCAGCCAUCAAAUCCCGGUCGCCAUGUUUUAAGGCUCCAGCUUCGAUGUCAUCCUCUCUUGCCUCGUCCUUCGGUUCUUCCUGUAGGCAAGCGAGCACGGCGGUGCUUCUCCUCAUUUCAGUAUUUCUUGCAGAAAUUUGGGAUCAUGCCAUCGGAAAAAAAAGUGAUUUGGAAUAUCAUCAUUUCAAUUGGAGUUAGUUAAAAUACCACUCUAAACUAGACCAUCUACGCCGGAAAACCAUCGUCGACAAUAAUUAUCCUUUAGGUUGUUCUUCUUCCUCCCUCCAACACCGGAAGAGCUAGUCCAUGGUCACUGUGCAUUUUGGCCACCACCAGCUUAUUGCCUCCUUGCACAUCGACUAACCUCCACUCCCUCUAUGUCACAACUGUCGUGCUCUCCUACUUUGCGUAGGGCCACCUGUCGCUCCCGCGGUGCUCCAGGACUUCUCCUUGAGCUUGCGGAGGCGGUUGGCCUCCUCGAGCCAGCCUUGUGCCGGUCGAAAAACUCAGAGUCCGACAGUGACACUAGGUAGAAGUUCUCCUAGUCCCAUGCCAACAACAGCGAUGACCUAACCAUCGGUUUUCGGAACGACGACUACGCGGGGCUGGUGAUGUUGGAGUCGGACAUGAUGUGCGACACCAUGAGGUAACAACGGGGCACGGGAUUGCCACAAGAGCAAGCGGGGGAGGUGGGUGCUUAGGGAAUAAUGUCAGGACAAUGCUAUAGACGAGGGUGCUGAUGACGACAUUGUUGGGAUCAACACAUAUUGGUGAGCGAUGGGCGACCUUGCAUGAAGCGGGGAGAGCAUGGGUGUGGAUGUAGUCAGCGUGCAUGGAGGCAAGCAGCUAAUGUCAACCAUGACGCACGAUGCCAGUUGGCGAUCUCUUCUGGGGACUACCUACAUUUUGUGGACAAAUUUUCUUCAAAAAAAUUAAUAGAUGUAAAUAUAAUACAAUCGUGAUUAUAACUUGUAUGUAACCUUCAAAAAUCUCUCGGUAACAUACUAUUUUCAUGAAACAGAAGUGGCGGGACCAAAUCCUCACAUGUGUGUGCGCUGUGAUUUUUUUUUCCUUUUCACUUUCAUAAAUCCUAAAAUAAAUUGGGUGAAUGUUACAUACAAGUUAUAUUGUAGUUAUAUGCAUGUUUCAUUGAUUUCACUAUAUUUAUAUCUGUCAAAUUUUAGAAGAAAACAAAUAUACCGUGAAAUCGAUCCCAAAUUUCUCACUAAGGAGCAGGAUUGAGCUACCGGAGAGGACAAAGUGGGCCGGUACUUCUGUCUGGUGAAGGGUCGAACCUUGCAUGCGAACGUCCAUCUAGUAGAGAGAUAGAGAUAACACUGAUCUGUACAUGUAAAAUCCGUUGGAGUUAGGCCGUAAUUUGUGCGGGCGACGCAUGCAUAUGACUGGGCGAUGAUGCACGUAUGGGCACUAGGCAGUUGAGCGCGAUAUAUCUCGAGCUCAGGGGAUAACCGGGAUAACAGGCUUUUGCCCGACAAAGGCGAUACCACGACGUCGGCGUUACACCUACACCUACACGAUCUAUCAGCACUUCUCCGUUCUCCCCGCCGCCGGCCAAACAAGGUAUAACGUACGCUUUGCGCUUGUGCAUGCCGGAGCCCGGAGGCCGAUCAAUAGAUCGAUCUCGUCCAUACCGGUGGUCUCCGGCCGCGCGCGUGCGGUUAAUUCUAUUCUUUAAUUUCUUUCUCGCCGUCAAGUCUAACCAUCCACGCGUGCAUGAUAUAUCGAUCGAUCUCUACUCUUGUGUACUCCUCGCAGAUAUGACGAAAUCCGACGACGAUCUCAAAUGCUUCUACGUGCCGAUCGUUACGAUGAUAUUGGCCUUCAACGUGCUAGUGUUCAUAGUACUACCCAUCAUCGAUAGGCCACCGGACCCGGUCUUCUCCGUUCGUCUUGUGGGCGUCGAGGGGCUCGACCACCCCGACCCGUGCCACCAGCUGCAGUCGGCUGCCCCGGCGGUGCCGCCGGUUUUCGACCUCGCCGUGGACGUGGGCGGCGUCCCACCGCGCUAUCGGGCCUGCGGCGGAGGCGGCGGGGACGACACCGUGCUGCGGGUCUCCUACCGCGGCAUCAUCCUUGCUUGGGGCUGCGUGCCGUCGUUCUGCAUCGACGGCGGCGAGCAUGGCAGAGCCAGAGCGGACGGCGUGGUCGUCGUCAGGGCCGAAGCAGGGGCGUGCGCCGCGAUCCGGGAUGGCCUGCGCAAUCUGAUAUGGACCGAGCGGCGCGUCCUGGGAAAGGUCGAUUUUGAUGUGGAGGGGAACCUGGGGAAGGUGUCCAGGUUAGGUAAUUUACAUUUCAAAGUUGCUUCUUUCGAAGGCGCGCGAGAUCAUUAAGAGAUCAAUUCAGAUGAUGCAUGGUUUCGCUUGCUUGUGCCCAAGGUUGUCAGGAUCAGGAUAAUAGGUAGUAUCAUUUUGCUCAAAGUAAUAUCGUAUCAUAGGAUCGUAUCGUAUCGUAGUAUCGGGAUACUAUGAGAUUUUCUUUUUUUUAAGUUUAAUUAACAUUUAUAUUAAUUAUAUAUAGCCAUUUUAUAUAAAAAAAUGUAGUAAUGAUAUAUAUCAUGCAAAUAGAGACAUUUAUCAAGAGAAACCAUGUUGGUUUUCAUAUAUUUAACUGAUUUUCAUAUAAAUUUGAGCAUAUUUAGUUACAUUAUUUUCAAACCAUGUUAUUUUAAAUAAUAUUUUAGCCAUUCUAUAUAAAAAAUAUAGUAAUGAUAUAUAUCAUGCAAAUAGAGACAUUUAUCAAGAGAAACCAUGUUGGUUUUGAUAUAUUUAACUGAUUUUCAUAUAAAUUUGAGCAUAUUUAGUUACAUUAUUUUUAAACCAUGUUAUUUUAAAUAAUAUUUUGUAGUAUCGUAGGGAUCGUAGAAUCGGGAUACCUCCUAAGAUUUCGUAGGAUCGUGUAGUAAUGAAUAGUAGGAUCGAGAUACUAUAAAAAUUAGGAUAUUAGGUGGGAUCGGUAUCGUUUCGGCUUGGUAGGAUCGUAAUAUCCUAAGAUACUAGGAUACGAAUCGGGAUACUGAUAACCUUGCUUGUGCCUAGAGAGUCCUAUGUUUUCCCUAUGGGGUUACUAAACAGAUAUCUCCCUCCAUAUUAAAAUAUAAGGCGCAACUUUUACUAACGAAGAUACUGAAAGAGAACGGUUUUGCUAGAUUUGUGGCAACAUAUUUUUUUUGUUAGAUUCCAGUCAGAGUUUAGACCGUUUGAUUUCCAUAAGAUUCGUGCAUGCAUACGUUCAAGCGUGCUAAACAACUUCCUUUGUUGUUGUAAUUAUAUAUUUAUACAAAUUUAUUACACUGUAGUUACACACCACUUAUAUAAGUAAUUACUAUGUAAUUUUUGGACUUAUAUAUGUAAUUUUAAAUCUUAUCUUACAUUAUAAAUGCACUAAAAUUAGUAGUUACACCCUACCUACAUAUGUAAUUAGUAAGUAAUUUGAGACUUACGUAUGUAAUUUUGAAACUUAAAUUGUAAAUACAAUAAAUUUACAUAUGUAAUUUAGGGACUUAAAAUGGAAAUACAUGCUGACUAUUUUUUGGUAAAAAAUAUGGCGCGAUAAAUAUAGCUACUCCCAUAAAGAAUUAUUAUUAUAUUUCUCAUUUGGAUGACCCAAUAAAUAUAAUACAUACACCUAAUAUGAUUUAAAAUAUUAAGAAUAGAGGAUACAAAAGAAAAUUAAAGGAGAGGGAAUGUGCUAGUUAACUGUAUGCAUGCGUAUCUUGUAUUAUGAAACAUCAAAAAAGUGGUUGGCUCUUAUAUUUUGGAAUGUAACGAGUAAUGUGAACUUAUUUUUUAUAGGAUUGGACAACACGUGACAUUCUAGUUUUAUAUUUUUUUCUACUUAUAUGUUUUUCGAAUAGGAGUCUUUCUUUCUCCAAUCCACCUGCAUGUUUGCGUGGGCUUUGAUUUUAGCCUACUUUGCACCUACAAACUUUACACUUGAAAACUUUUUAUAUGAAAAAUAUUUACUUUUGACACUAGACGUUUACUUAUAAUUUAGGCCUAACUUUCUAAAUGUAAAUUUCAUACAUAGGAGUGUUAGAUUUAUAAAAUUUAUAUAUAUAUAUAUAUAAAUUUCAUUUGGAUAUAGAAAUUUUCUAUGGAUGAAUUUCAAGCAAAAAUCAAAAUAUGAAUUUGAAAACAAGAAAAAAAUCUAUAAAAAUUCCAUUGGGCUAAACCAACUGAAAUGGUAACAAAUUGUGAAACACGUUUAUGGAAAACUCAUCUAGCUUUGCAUGGGCGUGAGUCUUAGGGCAUGUACAAAGGUAGAGUCUAAUAUGAACUAUCUAAAUAAUUAAUGUAAUUAGAUACUAUUCUCCUACAAUAGUAGAAACAAUAAGAUUUGUAAACCAUUAAUGCAUAAAUAAUGUUUUUAUUAUACUUCUUUCCUUUUCUCCACCCUCAUGCAACAAACUUUCUGUUAAUAAAUGCUAAGAGUCGACUCUGAGCCGUUGUCAUGCGUAACAACGGUGUUUCUCAUUCCUUCCCUCUCUUUCUUCCACGUCACCAAAUUUCCUUCCCUCUCUUUCUUCCACAUCACCAAUUUCUUUCCCUCUCUUUCUUCCACGUCACCAAAUUACUUGCAUGACAACGAAGAGAGCCUGUUAUUAGACACCAUUGUACAUGCCCUUAGCGCCACAAACGGCAAAAAUAAAAAUUACGCGUUUAAUCACCCAACAAAAUCGGUGAGUAAAAAGAAGAAGUUACACAAUCUGGAAUUAGCUAAAAAUGGAAACGUCUCAUAUGUGCGAUGCUGGUUCACUCACUAGCUAGCCUUUUGGAUCGGUGCCAAAUUUGGUUCGGCGUCAGUCUCGGUUCGAUUCAGCGUAGGUUUUUCGCUUGCUAGGCUUUUCGGUGUUAAAUUAGAGCAAUUUUAUCAUUCUUAAGAAGGUACCACCAAGUACCAGGUACUGCAAGGUACCACUUAAAUCCAAUUGUCCGUUGACAAGGGGGUAAAACUGGUAACAAUAAUUUUAUGUAAACCUUGCUCACGUGUUCUUCACUACCCGUCAUCAUUUUCUCCUUGCGCCUCUCUGCGUCGAGCGCCUAUGCACUGCCUUGCCCCAAUUAAGAUAUGAAAGCUGUUGCUUUGGGGGCCUUCAAAUGGGGAAAAUGGAGCGGAAGGCAUGCAAUGGAGUUCGGCAUUGAAGAGGAGGAGGUUACGAGCCUCCAGAGGAGGCACAUACGGCAUGGGCUCGUCGGAGAUUGGGGCGGAGGAAUGAAAAGGAGAAAGAUAGAAGGCAUGGGCUCGUCGGGAGAUUGGGGCAGAGGAAUGAAAAUGAGAAAGAUAGAAGGGAUGAAACAUAGGAAAUCGUGGAGGCAUGUGCGAGCGGCCCAGGGGCGAGGGGUGGAAUGAGAAGGAUCUAUUGGGGGAGGAUGAUCGUUGCAGCACUCGGUCGGGGAGGAGCGUCCCGCAGGCCAACGGGAAAACUCCCUCCUUCCGUCCUAAAUAAACCAACUUUAUACGUGAUGGUUGAUUUAUUUUGAGACGGAGGGAGUGGUGCUGACGGAGAGAUGGUACUCGAAGGUACUAAAGUCUGGACCACUGUUGAAUCUCUUUCUAUGGAUGACCCUGAUUUAUCCUUCUCUCUCUUCAAGGAUGGUUAGAAGCGCUAGCCAAAUUAGCAUGGCCUCAGUUUCAGUUUGAUUCGAUGUACGUGAGCAUUCGCUACCUUAAUACUAGCCUUUCGGUGCUAAACAGGGCUUCACCCUCAGUAUAUGUUUGGUUCUUCGGUUUUGGUACAUACGAGUAAAAAUAAAACAAACCCUGUACGGAGACUCGAUUAAAGGAAAGCAGGAAGCACAUGUGGAUACAUUAUAAACAAAUCCUGUACGGAUACGCAUGAUCCAGUACUGGCCUCGCUACAAAUAUGUUCCGGUGGGCGCGGGCGACGUACAUGCAUAGGAGUCGGCAAUGCAGCCAGCCAGCCAUGCAGGUAAAACAGUUGAACGCAGUAUCUCUCUAGUUCUCGAGGAUAAACGAUCGAUCGGCUGAUCUUCUCCGUUCUCCCGGCCGGCCAAACAAGGUACGUAGGCCUGUGCUUGUGCCGGAUCAAUCCUCGAUGAUCCAGUAAUUUGUUUCCAAAUUCCCGCCCAUCGCGAUCUAAAAAUCAUAUCCAUGCGUGAAGAAUGUGAUAUUGACCUCUAGCUAUCUCCUUGCAGAUCGAUCGAUGGAUCAGUACUUCGCCCAGGCCCUUGUGCUCUUGUAUACUCCAAUACUGCUCUGCUACGUAGUACUUAGUACUUAUGGCACCUAUCAUCGAUGGGCCACCGGACCCUAGCUUCUCCGUUCGGCUCGUGGGCGUCGAGGGGCUCGACGUCGACGCCGACGCACGCCUAUCUGGCCCAAGGUCGUCAUCGCCGGCCGCGCUACCGGGCCUGCGGCGGGGGCAGGGACGACACCGCGCUGCGCGUCUCGUACCACGGCAUGACGGCAUCGUCCUCGCCCGGGCUCCCGUGCCGUCGUUCUGCAUCGACGGCAAGCUGUUGGAGGGCGGCGGCGCGGUAGGCGUGGUCGUCGUCAAGGCCGAAGCGGCGGCGGCAAACGCCAAGAUGCGGAAGGGCCUGCGCGAUCUGAUAUGGACCGAGAGGCGCGUUCUAGGGAAGGUCGACUUCGACGUGGAGGGGAACCUCGGAGAGCAGGUGACUCGUGAUGAUCUGAAUUGUAAGGUCUCCUCCUUUGAGGGUGCCAAAGGUCGUUUUGAGUCCAUUUAGUUUUGGAGUGUUAAUUUUUACCCAUAUUAAUUUGCAUAGUUGGAUACAAAAUGAGUUUUGUAGUUAACAGGUGUAACACUGAUAGAGUUAUAAAUUGGUAUAAAUAGAAAUACGUACAUAGCAUAGGAAAAGCUUUAAAAGCAUUUUUUACAAGGAGGUGUUUGUUCGUAGGAAAGAUGAGGAAUGAAGUUAGGACAUGGGAAAAAAGCUAUUAACGUAUUAUUAAUUAAAUUUUAAUCUUUACAUACUUAAAAUAUAUUUAUGUGAUAUUUUAAAGCAACUCCUAUAAAGAAAAAUUUUAUGCAAAGCAUAUUGUUUAGAAGUUUAAAAAACAUCCCUUCCUAGUUCCUCUCCCCUAAAAAAAGUUUAAAAAACAUACUAAUGGCAGCCGAGGUAAAAUUUGUGUCUUGAUCAGAAAAGAAAAGGAAUUAGUAUGUCAAAGUAAUAUAUAUAGGAAACCCAAAUUUGUAUCAUCCAAAACCGGCACUGCCUUUGCCAUCGACAUCGUCGAGGGAUUUGGAAAAAAAAUUGGAAGAGCUGGUCAAAUGAUAUGACACAAUUGGUUACCUUGGGUAAAAGAAAAGAUACAUAUAGGCUAUGCUAGGGAGGCGGUAAAUAAAUAAGAAAAUCCAAGAAAUAUCAUUUUUAUUAGCGCCCAAUUUCAAGAAAUAUCAUGGAUAAGUGUGAGUUUAAUGAAAUGCCAUCGUACGAGCGACAUUGUCCAAAAAAAAUGUUAUCGUCGUUAGGGUUCCAUUAGCAACCCGCCGUUAAGUGCUAUUGACGGAGCGUGGGGCUCCUCACCGGGAGACCGCGCAGGCCCCCCUUUGCCGGUUCGGCCGGGGACUCAGGGUGAGAUUCUAAGCUCUCUGUAUGUGGAAGGUUCGCGAGACAGGAAACACAUAAGACACGAGCGAUGUAUACAGGUUCGGGCCGCUGAGAAGCGUAAUACCCUACUCCUGUGUUUUGGGAGAUCUGUGUAUCAAGGAGCUACAAAGUAUAUGCCAGCCUCUCCCUUGUUCUGGGUUCCUAAUCUGGAAAAGUCCAGUCCCCCCAUCUAAGUGGGCAAGGUCCUCCUUUUAUAUCUUAAGGGGAUACCACAUGCACCAUUUCUCUCUUUUUUGUGGGGACUUCCCCCACCUUUUCAUAAAUGGACGGAGAUUUGUAUAGUUGCCGUUCGAGUCACCUUCUGAUGAGACGGCCCACAACUACCUCCACUUUCGCCGGGAGCAGAUGCGACGUGGAAUCGUGGCUGUCUGCUGACGACAUGACCGGUGUCAGACCAGUCACGUCGGUCAUUCUUGCCCACCACGUGUCAGCUUAGCAAUCUACAUGUUCGCCCUUCUUCACACAACAUCUUGCCUGUAAUGGUUAGGAUGAAGCCUGGCAUAUAUCUGACUAGGACUAACGUGCCAUCUCUGGGAGGUAACACGCUAGCUCCAGCUGGAGACGAGCGCCUAGAAGCCCUCGUCCUGACGGGAUGGGGCGAGGCGUGCGUCAGAUCGCCUGUCGCCACCUAACCCGCGAUCUGACCGGUCUGUGACUGGUCACAGACCGGAUAAAUGAGUGCACUGCACUGCGUUACAUGCGGCGUGACACGCUCAGCCAAACCGCAAUAAAUGUGGUUAGGUGAGCCCCACUGUGCUCACCUAACCCAUACACUCGGAGCAAAAACCCACGAGGGGUCGGGGCGCCUCGGCCCUCGGGGCCGAGGCGGGUGCGGCCCGACCCCCUCGGGGGGACUAAGAGGAGGGAGAACAUAUCACCCUCGGGCCCGACGUCCCUCGGGGGUGCCAGGCCACGUGUGCGAUUGUGUCUGCCUCAAACCUCUAGUCAUGAUACUCCUGAUCCCAUGUCACCGACAGCUAUAGAAUGAAUGACGUAUUUAACGAUGUAGGAUGAACGAAACUCUAAAGGUGACGCAUUUCUAGGAGAAAAUCGUUGUGCGAUUGCAUUUUAUGGAACUCGCAUUUAUCGAUGGCUUUUUUGGAAUUGGACGUUUGUCAAUGAUAUUUAUUGGAUUUUCUCUCAAUAAAAUAGCAUGUGAUGGGGAGGAGCGACCAGAGCAUGCUAAGUGCUCGGGGGCCAUAGUGAAAAAACUCGGACAUAAUGUUGAACAGGUGAAGGGCUCAGUUUGUACCGGUCUGAUGGUUGAACCAAUGGAUUGCCGGUCUGACCGUGGUUCGUAAUAAAGUAUUAAUUAAAGUUGUAUUCACAGCACUGCGCAGUGUGCACAGCUUCGUGGUGGGUAGAACCCCACGCUUGCGCUUUUUUAGGGGACAUGUAGUCGAAAGAGAAGCUAACAUGUGACAAAUGUGAAUGAAAAUUUGACAGAGUGGUAUUUAAACAUAUGUAUUUUGGAAGGAUGGCAAAUAAUGAUCAAUUCUCUUAAUUGAAGGAGCCAUGUAAGAUGUGCUAUGUACUCCCUCCAUUUCAUAUGAGUUGCUUUGAUUUUUUUCGUUGUCAAACUUUUUUCAAGUUUAAUAAAAGUUUUAAAAAAAGCAAUAUCUAAAACAACAAAUUAGUUUCAUUAAAUCUAGCAUUGGAUAUAUUUUGAUAAUAUGUUUAUUUUGUGUUGAAAAUACUACUUUGUUUUUUCUAUAAAUUUGGUCAAACUUAAAGAAGUUUAACUAGAAAAAAAAACUAAAGCAAUUCAUAGUAUGAAAUAGAGGAGUAGCAAACAAACACGUUGUAGUAGCAUUAUAAUUUUAAUUACCAUUCUAUAAAUUAGAAACAUGUAAACACUAAUCUUUAAUGUACCUUUUUGUUCCAGUUUGAGCUUUGGGCCAAACAUUCAAGCCCAAACACAACCCAAUUGGAACCUAACAACAUAGGCAAUCUGAGUACGCUUACUGCCAAGCCAAGGCCAAGAAAGGCAAAUUCAACAAAAGCCAACAACUACUCACUUGAUUUUUUUUUUGUUAGACAUAGAGGAGUAGUAGAUUCAAAAUACAGAACAUGCAUGUUCUUCUUGUUUGCUCCUAUUUAUCACGUACUCUCUCUCUCUUAAAACACACCUUACUACUCCCUUGUUUCAAAUAAGGCUAAGUUCGAUUCAUCUCUUUCCCAACUUUCACUCCUUUAUUUAUCAUGCGCACUCUUUCCGAACUAUUAAACGAUAUAUGUUUUUUUUUAAAAAAAAGUCUAUAGGAAAAAUAUAUAAAUUUAUUUUUAAAUUUUUAAUACUAAUAACUAAUUAAUUAUACGCUAAUAAAUCACUCCGUUUUAUGUGCUCGAGGGAUUAAUUCCCAAAGUUAAAAGCCAAACACAGCCUAACUACUCUUUUAUACUUUUAAUGUAUUUAAAUAUGCGGAAACACUAACUCGCGCGUACGCGUUGCCGGCGCGCAUGCUGCCCACUAAGGCCCAUGCACGUACGCACUUAAGUUUCUCUCUUUUUUUUUCUUUUUUUUACCCUGUCGUUUCUUCUUUUUUUUAUAUUUUGUUUUCGUUGUUUGUUAUUCCUAUUUCUUACUAGUGAUUAGUUUACUAGUAAUUUUUAAAUCUUAACUUUAAAAUUUUCAAAUCUCAAGUUGAAAGUUUUUAAAUUUUUUAAAUUUGGACCUGAAAGUUUUUGAAUCUUGAGUUAAAAGUUUUUAAAUCUGAGUUGAAAGUUUUCAAAUCUUAAGUUGAAAGUUUUCAAAACUUUCAAAUCUGGACUUGAAAGUUUUCGAAUCUGAGUUGAAAGUUUUCGAAUCUCGAGUUGAAAGUUUUCAAAUCCGAGUGGAAAGUUUUCAAAAUUUGACUUUAAAAUUUAAAUCUUAAAUCAAAAGUUUUCAAAUCUGACUUAAAAAUUUUUAAUCUAUUAGUAAAAAAAUAUCCCAAAAAAAUUUCCCUAAUUACUCGUCAUUAGUACUAAGUGGGUGUUAACUAAUACUAUAGAGUAGUUAGGGAGGUGCUUGCUGCUGGCGCAUGCGCGCCAGCAGCUAGCAACCCCUUUAAAUAUGACUAGCACGGUAAAUAUUUCUCUUGAUUUUAUACACAUCCUAAUUCUCAUGUCGACUCAAAAAAUGCCUUAUAGUAAAGAAAAAAAAGGAGAGAGUACAUGUUUUCUAUAGCGUGUCAUGUUUUUCUUAAAUUGAACAAAUAAUUAAUUGUGAAAAGAGAGGAUAAAACUUAGAAAACAUCAAAACAGCACAGUCCAAAUUGGCCGUAGAACUUCCCUUUCAGCACAGGCCGGUUUUUCCAAAUCGCUGUGGAAUAUUGAUGGGCAGAACUUUUUUUAGUCAAAAAUGCACAAUUAAUAUGGGUGAGCUACUUAUUAAAGCUUGAUAGCGAAGAAACCCCGCUGCCACUGUGCUAGCCUCCAACGCUUAGGCCGCCUGCUCCACCCACCAUCAAUCAGCUCUCACACAAGCCCAAUACGGCAAAUACCCCCGUCCAUGCCAUGUGGGCCCGCUUGCCACGGACUCUCCUCUGCCCCCCAGCCGCCUUUUCUAUUUUAAUCCCCGCUUCUCCCCGCCUCUUACAUCACAGUCCACGGGAAUAGUCCAAACCGCCUCCAUCCACGGCAGACGCGACGCGACCCGAACACGAGAGAGGAGGGAAGCAAGCAAAGCAAAGCGAAGCAGCGAGAGGGAGAAGCAUACGAAGAAGAAGAAGAAGAGGAAGAGGAGGGCAUGGAGAUGCAGCACGUGGUGGAGGUCGAGCAGGGCCGCGCGGCCGCCGACGGCCGGCCCUCCGUGGGCCCCGCCUACCGGAGCGCCUUCGCCCGCGGCGGCUUCCCGCCGCCCGUCGCCGGCCUGGACUGCUGCUACGACAUCUUCCGGUGAGUGGCUGCUGCUGCUGUGACGACGAUGACGAGGGGUUCCUCGCCUGACCUCCGGUGGGAGGCGGGGCGGGCGGGGCGUGGGCGAGGCGCCAAGCAUCGGUUUGCUUGAAUUCGUGUAUGGGUUGGUUGGUUGGGGGGAACAUUAAUUGAUGCGUGGAUUCUGUUCUGGCACUGAGAUUCAGAGGAUUGUUUCCAGUGGCCGUAUGCUAUUUAUUUCUGGUUUGCACAUGGAGGUUGGGAUUUGGUGUCCUUUGGUUCAGUUUCGAUCUUAUCUCUCAUUAAUGGGUGACAAAUUCUGUGCUUAGAUUUGGUAUGCUUGCUUAUGUUCAUAUGCUUCACCAGGGGACAGUUAGCUUAGAUUUUAAAAAAAGCCUUGCCAAUUAGUUAAUCUUUGUCUGUCCCAUAAUUUUCAGACCUCCUAUUCCUUAUGGAUCUGUAGAAUUCCGCGGGAGUGAUUUGUAACUGGAAAAUCACUUUCAGCCUAGCCAUGCACCGUUGUUGUUCGAUCUGUGGGUCGUAAUGGUGAUGUCAGACUGGUCCAUGUUGUCUGGUCUCUUUCUGGAUAUGGAUAGGAAAGUACAGAGGGAAUUAACAGGAUUGGUUUGUCCUUUGCAUUCUAGUUGCUGGCCUGAAUUCUGUCAAUUCUUCAAUUUAAUGACCCUUUUCUCCUACUGAGCUUCUCUAAUUUCUUGAUUUCGACAAUGUCUGUUCUUGUGCAGAAUGGCCGUGGAGAAGUUCCCAGACAACAGAAUGCUUGGUCACCGUGAGAUUGUUGACGGGAAGGUACCUCAAUCACUCCAUGUACUCGUUUAUUCCCUUGAAAUGUUAUACCAGAAAGAAAAAAAACUAAAUAGGAUUUUUGUGCUAUUAUAGGCUGGUGCAUACGUUUGGAAGACAUACAAGGAGGUGUUUGACCUUUCGACUAAGAUUGGUAACUCUAUUAGGAGCCGUGGACUUGCAAAGGUUUGGUCAAUAAUUUAUUAUAUUUUCUAUAUAUAUGUCAUGAGAUGGGAUGCUAAUUUCUUUGAACAUUGUUAAUUGAAUUAAACAUUGUAUGAACUUUUUGUUCAGCUUGGAAGCAACACUUUGAUGUAUUCUUAUAUCUUGAUUAAAGAAUCAUACCAUCUCAUUUUAAUUUGAUAAUUUUGCAGGGAAGCCGUUGUGGUAUCUAUGGUGCUAAUUGUCCUGAAUGGAUUAUCACGAUGGAGGUAAUGUUUUCAAUCUUGUUCUGUAGCCAGCUUUUGUCUGGAUGCACUCUCAUCAUUUCGCAGCAAGUAAACUGUCAAUUUUCACCCAUUAUUUAGUCAUUUUUGUCUUUUGGGGCACUUAUGUUGCUGAAACAAUUGUAACGCUUGGUACUUAUGUCUCGCCAAUUUAUGUUUCUGUCCUUUUCAGGCCUGCAAUGCUCAUGGAAUCUACUGCGUUCCAUUAUAUGACACUCUUGGUAUAUAUCCUAACAUUUUCUUAAGAGCAUUAUACACACAUUGACGAGUUUAUUGUUUUCUUCUAUGAUACUUCUUGCUUGGGGGCGGUGGUAGGUCAUUUAGUUGUGCACCUGUUAACAUUAUGCUUCUUUCUCUGAGGAAGGUAGCCUUGAUACUGUUAAGCAUGUGCUCAAGAACUAUUUAUGGUCUCCUCUUAUGGCAACUAUGAUUAUGUUUCCAGAAGAAUGAAAAAGCUUUGUCACAUCAUUAGAACAUAUUGCAAAUAAGUUUCCUAUGAUGAUCUUGUUGUUUUCUUAUAAGCAAACUAAGAGCUAAAUGUCAUUCAAUAAGUAAAGGAUCUUUUUCCUAGUUGACACAUUUAGAUGCAUAAAAUGAAACGACAUAGUAACACAUGCAACUGCAGCUUAUACCUUUGUAUUAAAUAUGCUCUUGAUGCAGGAGCUGGUGCUGUAGAGUUUAUUUUGUGCCAUGCAGAAGUUGAGAUUGCUUUCACAGAGGAGAAAAAAAUUGAGCAGGUAUAGUUUGUUACUUUGUUUCAUUGUCUCAUACCAGUAUGUAGAACUUCGAUGAUUGCAUUGCAGUGCAUCCUGAAUCGAGAAUACUUGCACUGUUGUUGACCUUCUACAUAAUUGUCUUUAUCUGUAUGAUGAAUAUGUAAAAUUAAUCUUUAUUUUGGUGAGCAUCUUUGGAAAUAUAUCUGUAAACUGUCCAUUGGGGAAAAGCUAGCAGUACACCAAUUGUUCUUCUGUAUUCCUUAAGUUCAUUUUUGUUUUUAGUUAUGCUUUGUAAAGCUCCAUCACCCGUUUAGAUCCAUGGAAACCUUGCUUCAUUCUACUUAAAAAAAAUGCAUGUUUCCAAGACAGUUUUCUAUAGUUACACAAUUAUCUUGUUUCAACUGUAUUACAUUGUGUUAUUUAUAUUUUGGACGACACUUCGAUGGUUGUUUUGCGACUGUGUCAAUGGGUUGUGGGUAUCUCAUCAUAUCAAAGCAUGCUUUAUCUCUCCGGAUGCAUAUUGAGUAAUUUCAACUUGGCAGAUCUUCAAGACUUUCCCCAAGUCAGCUGAAUUCUUGAAAAGUAGGUUUCACUCAUCCAUACCAUCAUCAAGAAAUAACAUGCUUCUACCAUGAAAUUAAAGAUGUAAUACUAUUUGCAGCAAUCGUUAGUUUUGGGAAGGUAACUCAGGAACAAAAGGAAAAUGCCUCCAAAUAUGGGCUGGAGAUCUAUUCAUGGGAUGAAUUUCUUUCUUUGGUAAGACAUGCUGCCAGCAAUUUUAUAUGCAGUUCGUUUUGACAUUAUCAUUUCUUAAACAUAAAUGCCUCAUAAUGAUGUGGCAAUGUGCACAUUAGUAUUUGUCUAUCCACAGAUCCUUCAAUACCUGUAUAGGCAAAGAUUUUGAUGUAACUUCAUUUGUAUAACAUGGAAGUUGAAAACGCUAAUUUUUAAUGUUGUUUGCCUACAAACUUUUGUCAAGUUUGCUAACUUUUUGUUGUCACCAGUUACUACAGUCUACCUAUGGUCCUAAACCUCUCGUAGUUUUGUUUCUUUCUAAUUUGGAAAGUUGUUUCAAGAGUUCAUUUUACACCUAUUUUAUUAGGAUAGCUUUUCAGAUAUUCUAUUUUUCACAUGACAUUGUAUCUUCAGGCAGACCAAGAAUUCGAUCUUCCAGUGAAAGCAAAGACUGACAUAUGUACUAUAAUGUAUACCAGUGGAACUACUGGUGACCCCAAAGGUGUACUGAUCUCCAAUGCAAGCAUUAUUUGCCUAGUCGCAGGUGUAGAUCGGCUGCUUAACUGUGUAAAUGAGCAGGUAAGAUAUGCCAGCAGCCCUUUCAUUAUGCAUCCAUAUAUAAUCACUGAUCAAUCUUUAAUUGCUUUAACUAUGCGGGAAUCUCAGCUGGAGCAAACCGAUGUUUACAUGUCUUAUCUUCCACUUGCUCAUAUCUUUGAUCGUGUUGUGGAAGAGCUAUUUAUGUUCCAUGGUGCUUCCAUUGGAUUUUGGCGUGGGGUAAGCACCGUUACAUGUUUACUGAUCCCUCUUGGAUUUUGAUUUUUUGAACCUGUGAUGACUAUCUUAAAAAUUUGGUUCAGGAUGUUAAGCUGCUUGUUGAAGAUAUUGGGACACUGAAACCAACUAUCUUGUGUGCUGUUCCACGUGUGCUUGACCGGAUAUUUUCUGGUAAGGAGCUCUUGAAGUGUAUGGAAAAUUAUUAACAGUCGUCAUACUUUUUCAUAGGCAUCCAGUGAGAUAUUUUUGUGAUUAAGUGAGGCAAGACAGUAGAUAUUUAUCAUUUGAUCAUAUUGUUCAAUAGCAAUUAUUCUUAGAUGAUAUUGUUUUAAUAUAUACACUAAUUAAUAUAGAUUGAAUCUGUCAUUUUCCUUUGGUGAAAUACUUCUUAUUGGUCUUAAUGGUGUGGUUUGCUCUUUUGUUUGGUAAAUUCUUAGAUGGCUGGCUGUCUGAUCCACUGAUACUCUUGACAUGUCAUGGCAAGGUGUUUAUACUAAUUUACUCAAGAAACUACCUAAUAACUUGGCUAUAUUGUUAUUGGUGUUUCUUACUUCACCAAGGAAUUCUCCUGUGUCUAACAAUAGUUGAAUGUUGAGUACUUCAUAUCUUAUUCUAAUGCAAACUUGAACCAUAUUUGUGCUUUUGGUAUAUGAGGAUCUUCUGUUUGUUUAUAUAUGCUCAUGCAUGAACCUGGUGAUAGUUUUGUUCUGUCGACUUGAAGUUUGCUUGUACUUUUUAAAAGGAUUUGAUAUUGUCACUGUGAGUGUGAUCUUGCUAGAGUUUGCUCGUGCUCAUGGAACUUUCCCUUAUUUUUACCCUUUAUUCAGGACUCCAAGCUAAAAUUGCAUCUGGGGGUUUCAUAAAGAGUACAUUGUUCAAUCUUGCUUACAAAUUGUAAGUUUACUACUCUUUGUACUCUGAAUGUUUGCCUUUUGGGGAAUAGAAAAUGUGGAAUAGUUGUUUGCACUUUUAAUAUUAUAGGUCCAAUGUUUCUUCUGAAGUUCACUUUAUGCUAGUAUUAGUUAAUAAUCUGUAACUAUCAAAUUGAAGUAUUUCACCUGUCACAGAAUCGAGUAUGACCUAGGUAUUAUAUUUUGCAGCAAGCAAUUUAGAAUGAUGAAAGGAGCUAAGCACAAUGAAGCUGCCGCAAUAUGUGACAAAGUAGUUUUCAGUAAGGUAGUUGAACUUUGCAGUCGCUACUUCUUCACUCUUAUGUGUUCUUAAACUUGCCAUUCUUAUUUUAGAAAUUUAAUUUAUCAUGCUUCAGGUGAAAGAAGGUCUUGGGGGAAAUGUUCGUGUUAUUUUGUCCGGAGCUGCUCCACUUGCUACUCAUGUUGAAGAAUACCUGAGAGUGGUGACUUGUGCACAUGUCUUACAAGGAUAUGGUAUAUCUUUGUUUGUUAUCUUUGUAGAGAAAGUAGGAUAGAUGCCUCACCUAAGAGGGGAGGUGAUCUCUUAUAUAUAUAGCUGAAUUACAAUGAAUGCUAGUGCUGAGAUACAAUCAAUACAAGUGAAUUACAUAAGACCAAAGGUCUAGGAGAGUAAAGGUCUAGGAGUUGAACAGCCUAUAGAUUAAUAAAUAAUCCUAAUACCCGCCCGCAGUCAUAGCGGGAGGAGUACGAACGCAAAGACUGGACCGAAAAUCUUGUGAUAAAAGAACACUUGCAACUCUCUUGAUCUAUCAUGUCUUUUCUAGUCCAUUUGAUCAGUACAAUCAUUUUUAUUUAGUUGUAUGCAUUAGACAUACCAUCCAAUUAAUUAUUAAAGCAUUAUAAAUUGAUGUAACUGAGUAGGUAAAGUUAUUUUCUACGAUGCUAUAUAUACUUGAUGGGAUAACUCAAUUGUUUUGAUGACAACAUCACUGAUGUUAUUGGUCUAUUCAAUCUAUGCUCUUACUAGCAAAAGAUAAACUCUGAAAAUAUUAAUAGAAGGCAAUUGUGUUGAUGGAAAUCUCUGUUUUUUGAAUGGAAGUUUUGAUUUGAUUUUGUUGUGCAACAUGCAAAGUUUUAAAAUUGGUGGAAAAAAAUACUAAUCUCCUGGGCUGGACUGGUAACCAGUAGGUUAACGGAAUUUACCAGACAAACAUUCAAAUAUUGGAAUUCAAACAAUGGUUACUGGUUGUUAACAAGUAGCAUUGUACCAGCCCGAAGCAGAAGGUAACUGGUCAGCAAAAAAGUGCUUCUGUUAGUAAAUAUCAAAAUUAUUAAAUUACGAAUUUCAAAUCUAAAUUAAAGUAUUGCAGCUGGUUUGUUCUGGCACUAUUCACCACCUUCUAACCAGUUAUGGGCUGGUUACCAGUUGUUUUCCAAACGCUGUCAACAUGCACUAGUUCUUAAAUUGGUUUCCUCCAUAAAAACAAACAAAAGUUUCCUAAAUUGUAGGUCAUUAUCAUUGAUCCAUGUAACCUGAAUUUUUUUUCCAACAGAACUUUGUUUUGAAUCAUUUGGUCUCUUUUAGGUCUCACGGAGACUUGUGCUGGAUCUUUCGUCUCCCUACCAAAUCAGAUGUGCAUGAUAGGGACUGUUGGUCCUCCAGUGCCAAAUAUUGAUGUCUGCCUGGAAUCAGUGCCUGAAAUGAAUUAUGAUGCACUUGCAACUAGACCGCGUGGCGAAAUCUGCAUCAGGGGAGAAACAGUAUUCUCAGGAUACUACAAGCGUGAAGACCUUACAAAGGAUGUUUUGAUUGAUGGAUGGUUCCAUACUGGUAUGUCUUGCUUUUUCAUAGUUUUUUUUUUCUCUCCUUAUGGGGGCUUUUUGUAGAUUUUAGUGGCUGCAGCAGUAAAAAGAAUGUCAGAUACCAUUUCCACAAUUGCAAUAAUUUCAUUUCUGGAGUAGGAUUCAUGUUUUAAUAUUUUAGGCCUUGUAAUAUCAAUAGUAGGUCCACACUGUGAUACUGAGAAUGGGCUAACUAGCUAAGCUUAAGCAGCAAUUAAUCAGAGUAUACAUCCGCUUUAGAUUGCAAGGCAUUCUACUCUCUUUUACUAAACUGUGCCUGGAUGACAGUACUAAUAUGAUCAGCUAGUUGCAAAGAGAGGUUUGAAAAUUGAAACAUCUGUUCUCUGCUUGCAGGAGACAUUGGUGAGUGGCAACCUGAUGGAAGUAUGAAAAUCAUAGAUCGCAAAAAGAAUAUCUUCAAGCUUUCACAAGGAGAAUAUGUAGCAGUAGAAAAUUUGGAGAACAUUUAUGGUCUUGUUUCUGCUAUAGAUUCGGUAUAUGGCUAUCUGCUUUAAAGUUCUCUGCUCCUUAAAUUUAUUCUGCGACAUUGUUUUUGCCUUUUUGGUAUCAUAAAUGACUGAUGGGUCAUUACCUUCUGUUUCUGCUAAAACAAUUUGAAAAACUUUCCUCUGUUUUUUUUUUUUUUGAACAUCUGUUCAGAUAUGGGUAUAUGGGAAUAGCUUUGAGUCAUUCCUUGUUGCUGUGGUCAAUCCAAACAAGGAAGCAUUGGAGAGCUGGGCUGCAGCAAAUGGAAUCAGUGGUGAUUUGGAGGCAUUGUGUGAGAACCCCAAAGCAAAAGAAUACAUUUUGGGAGAACUGUCAAAAGUAGGAAAAGAGAAGAAGGUAAUAUUUUGAUUAUUGCUUGCUUUUUUUUCCUGAAAGGAAAUUAAUCUCUUCUAUAUAUCACGUUUGUCCGCUUGCUCCUAUUAACUCCUUAACUUUCUACGUACUUUUGCAGCUCAAAGGUUUUGAAUUCAUAAAGGCUGUACAUCUUGAACCAGUGCCAUUUGACAUGGACCGUGAUUUGAUUACUCCAACAUAUAAAAAGAAGCGCCCUCAAUUGCUCAAGUACUACCAGGUAUUGCUCAUUCAAAUUCUCGUCAUACUGAUGGCAUAUGUUGUUUACAUACUUCACGCGUGUAGAACGUUCUCAUUUUGCUUACUUGGUCCUUUGAAUCAGUUUUAGAUCUCGAUAAUUCUGAAGCUAUUGUCCCUUUAUUUCAGCAGAAUUCCACUAUUUGUUUUUUGUACUAAGAACCAAAAAAAAGGGUUUUCGGACGCCUUACAUUCAGAGGUUAACUAGCAGCUCUAAAUUUACUUCGAUUUGCAGGGAACAAUUGACAACAUGUACAGAAGUGCCAAAUGAGCUCGCCAUGCCGUCUAGAACAUCCAAGAUCAAAGGAGCUGACAGAAGCACCAAUCUCAUGCUGUUUGUAUGUUCAUAGUAGGGACGGAAAAAUGUUGUAAUAUCUCUUUUGGAAACGUCUUGACAUAUAUGAUUUAUUCGUAGAAACGGGGUAUGCACCUGUACGAAGAAUCGCAAGCACCGUUUCUGUAUUGCCUGACCCCUGAAAUUGCCAAAUUUAAAAUCGAAAAUUAGCGGCAAUCGUUGCACGUUGGAGUUUGAGCUUCCAUGCGUUAAAACGUUUAGAAUUAGCACAGGAUCGUUGCAUCGGGGCCGUUUCAGAAUUCAGAUAUAUCCAAAAGACUUUGCUGGAUUUAACAUUGCCGAACAUUUAAGGGUUCACAUCGUCUGCCUUUGGCCUCAAAGGCAGACUUCGCCGUUGCUUCAUCUUAGCUACCCAUUCAACAAUAAACUGUUGCAUGUAUAAGCCUCCACAAAAGCGAUUAAUAAAAAUCAGCAAACAAAAAUUCUGACGGCUAGAGCACACACGAACAAAAACAUACCUCGACUUGACUAAUAGUUCAAAUGAUUUUCUGUAUGACUGCAUCGUUGUGACGAUUAUUCUUCUAUACACUUGACAUCUGGACUACUAGUCCCUUCGAAACAAUAAGAGUAAAUUACAUUGAUGCUACACAAACUUGUUAGGUGGGUGCAAUUUAAUACAUAAACUUGUAAAAUGCUCAUUUCAGUAUAUGAAUUUGUCAAUGUAAAUGAGGACCAAAAUAAUUUAAAAAUGAUAAUUUUAUGAAGCGAUGUUGAUUAGGAUGUGACGUGCAUGCGUGUAGUGAGUAUGCAUAGGACAUUCAAUAUUUAUAAAUUUGGUCUCUAGUUUAUUCUUCACCAUAAAAAUAAUGAAUUUCAUAUAUUUCUAACAUUUAUACCAUUGCUCGUUUUUUUAAUCUUUUUCUACUAUCACUAUAUUCUAUUCUAUUUUUUAUUGAAGAGGUGUAUGUCUAAUAGCAACCUUCUUAGAUAUAUGCCCUAAAUCAAUAAGAUUAGCAAUAUAGUGUCCUUUUCGCCUUCCUCCGCAUGCUAGACAAGUUCAUGCACCAAAACGAGCAUUUUACAAGUUCAUGCACUAGAUUGUACACAUCUGACAAGUUCGUGUACCGGUGAUGCAAUUUACUCAAACAAUAAAGUACAUCAAACGUAGAGGGGGUGGUCCCAUUUCAGCGAAGGAGCGUGGGCCCAAACCCCCAAACAUGUGUGCUC